RNAcentral lists this ribosomal RNA (500 nucleotides) under uncultured bacterium. Its description in RNAcentral is "partial 16S ribosomal RNA". It matches the Rfam family "Bacterial small subunit ribosomal RNA", at positions 28 to 507 of the family's 1533-position model. The record is from RNAcentral.
GACGAACGCUGGCGGCAUGCCUAACACAUGCAAGUCGAGCGAACAUUUCUAGAUUCUUUCUUCUAUAAGUGUUAGCGGCGGAUGGGUGAGUAACACGUGGCCAACCUUCCCUGCAGAUGGGGAUAACUCCGGCAAACCGGAACUAAUACCAGAUAAUCAGGUUGUCCGCAUGGACAAACUCUGAAAGACCGCUUCGGCUGUCACUGCAGGAUGGGCCCGCGGCGUAUGAGCUAGUUGGUGGGGUAAGCUCCUACCAAGGCAACGAUGGGUAGCCGACCUGGUAGGGGGAUAGCCGACACUGGGAGUGAGACACGGCCCAGGCUACUACGGGACGGCGCAGUAGGGAAUGUUAGACAGUGGACGGAAGUCUGAUGGAGCGAGGGCGAGUGAGAGACGACGGUGUUGGGAUCGGGAAGAUGUGUUGUGAGGGAAGAACCGGUACGGGCGUAGAUGCACGGAGAUUGACGGUACCGGAUGAGGAAGCAACGGCUAACUACGUG